Molecule: ribosomal RNA, 253 nt
Filed under: uncultured bacterium
Lineage: Bacteria
Description: partial 16S ribosomal RNA
Rfam family: Bacterial small subunit ribosomal RNA
Source: RNAcentral
UACGUAGGGUGCGAGCGUUAAUCGGAAUUACUGGGCGUAUAGCGUGCGCAGGCGGCUUUGCAAGACAGAUGUGAAAUCCCCGGGCUCAACCUGGGAACUGCAUUUGUGACUGCAAGGCUAGAGUACGGCAGAGGGGGAUGGAAUUCCGCGUGUAGCAGUGAAAUGCGUAGAUAUGCGGAGGAACACCAAUGGCGAAGGCAAUCCCCUGGGCCUGUACUGACGCUCAUGCACGAAAGCGUGGGGAGCAAACAGG